AAGCCAAUAGUCUCAGGUCACAAUUCUCUAUUCCUCUACACUGCUCUUUCAGGCACUUGCCCGAUCUUUGAAUCCCUAGCAAGUACCAACACGCUCCCGCUGCCUGCUCCCGCACCCCAAAAAAAAGGAAAACAAACAAGUAAA
This is a long non-coding RNA of Hibiscus syriacus, 144 nucleotides long. RefSeq lists it as uncharacterized. Lineage: Eukaryota; Viridiplantae; Streptophyta; Magnoliopsida; Malvales; Malvaceae. The record is from RefSeq and is a predicted model, not a curated record. The transcript is spliced from 3 exons.